UGAACGCUAGCUACAGGCUUAACACAUGCAAGUCGAGGGGCAGCAUUUUAGUUUGCUUGCAAACUGAAGAUGGCGACCGGCGCACGGGUGAGUAACACGUAUCCAACCUGCCGAUAACUCCGGAAUAGCCUUUCGAAAGAAAGAUUAAUACCGGAUAGCAUACGAAUAUCGCAUGAUAUUUUUAUUAAAGAAUUUCGGUUAUCGAUGGGGAUGCGUUCCAUUAGUUUGUUGGCGGGGUAACGGCCCACCAAGACUACGAUGGAUAGGGGUUCUGAGAGGAAGGUCCCCCACAUUGGAACUGAGACACGGUCCAAACUCCUACGGGAGGCAGCAGUGAGGAAUAUUGGUCAAUGGGCGAGAGCCUGAACCAGCCAAGUAGCGUGAAGGAUGAAGGCUCUAUGGGUCGUAAACUUCUUUUAUAUGGGAAUAAAGUUUUCCACGUGUGGAAUUUUGUAUGUACCAUAUGAAUAAGGAUCGGCUAACUCCGUGCCAGCAGCCGCGGUAAUACGGAGGAUCCGAGCGUUAUCCGGAUUUAUUGGGUUUAAAGGGAGCGUAGGUGGAUUGUUAAAGUCAGUUGUGAAAGUUUGCGGCUCAACCGUAAAAUUGCAGUUGAAACUGGCAGUCUUGAGUACAGUAGAGGUGGGCGGAAUUCGUGGUGUAGCGGUGAAAUGCUUAGAUAUCACGAAGAACUCCGAUUGCGAAGGCAGCUCACUAGACUGUCACUGACACUGAUGCUCGAAAGUGUGGGUAUCAAACAGGAUUAGAUACCCUGGUAGUCCACACAGUAAACGAUGAAUACUCGCUGUUUGCGAUAUACAGUAAGCGGCCAAGCGAAAGCAUUAAGUAUUCCACCUGGGGAGUACGCCGGCAACGGUGAAACUCAAAGGAAUUGACGGGGGCCCGCACAAGCGGAGGAACAUGUGGUUUAAUUCGAUGAUACGCGAGGAACCUUACCCGGGCUUAAAUUGCAACAGAAUAUAUUGGAAACAGUAUAGCCGUAAGGCUGUUGUGAAGGUGCUGCAUGGUUGUCGUCAGCUCGUGCCGUGAGGUGUCGGCUUAAGUGCCAUAACGAGCGCAACCCUUAUCUUUAGUUACUAACAGGUCAUGCUGAGGACUCUAGAGAGACUGCCGUCGUAAGAUGUGAGGAAGGUGGGGAUGACGUCAAAUCAGCACGGCCCUUACGUCCGGGGCUACACACGUGUUACAAUGGGGGGUACAGAAGGCGGCUACCUGGUGACAGGAUGCUAAUCCCAAAAACCUCUCUCAGUUCGGAUCGAAGUCUGCAACCCGACUUCGUGAAGCUGGAUUCGCUAGUAAUCGCGCAUCAGCCAUGGCGCGGUGAAUACGUUCCCGGGCCUUGUACACACCGCCCGUCAAGCCAUGAAAGCCGGGGGUACCUGAAGUACGUAACCGCAAGGAGCGUCCUAGGGUAAAACUGGUAAAGGG
This 1446-nucleotide ribosomal RNA is filed under the name uncultured organism. Its description in RNAcentral is "SSU rRNA". It matches the Rfam family "Bacterial small subunit ribosomal RNA". The record is from RNAcentral.